UACGAAGGGUGCAAGCGUUUGUCCGGAAUCACUGGGCGUAAAGGGCACGUAGGCGGCUCAUGAAGGCUGUGGUGAAAGUCCGGGGCUCAACCUCGGAUCGGCCGUGGCGACUCGUGGGCUGGAGCACUGUAGAGGCGGGUGGAAUUCCGGGUGUAGCGGUGGAAUGCGUAGAGAUCCGGAAGAACACCAGUGGCGAAGGCGGCCCGCUGGGCAGUGGCUGACGCUGAAGCGCGACAGCGUGGGGAGCAAACAGG
This 254-nucleotide ribosomal RNA is filed under the name uncultured bacterium. RNAcentral describes it as "partial 16S ribosomal RNA". It matches the Rfam family "Bacterial small subunit ribosomal RNA", at positions 524 to 776 of the family's 1533-position model. The record is from RNAcentral.